RNAcentral lists this ribosomal RNA (609 nucleotides) under uncultured bacterium. RNAcentral describes it as "bacterial SSU rRNA". It matches the Rfam family "Bacterial small subunit ribosomal RNA", at positions 338 to 948 of the family's 1533-position model. The record is from RNAcentral.
CCUACGGGAGGCAGCAGUAGGGAAUAUUGGGCAAUGGAGGCAACUCUGACCCAGCCAUGCCGCGUGCAGGAAGACGGUCCUCUGGAUUGUAAACUGCUUUUGAAUGGGAAGAAUGUGCUCCUUGCGAGGGGUAAUGACGGUACCAUUAGAAUAAGCCACGGCUAACUACGUGCCAGCAGCCGCGGUAAUACGUAGGUGGCGAGCGUUAUCCGGAUUUAUUGGGUUUAAAGGGUGCGUAGGCGGCUUAAUAAGUCGGUGGUUAAAAGUAGCAGCUUAACUGUUUUACAUGCCAUCGAUACUGUUGAGCUUGAGAUAUUUGGAGGCAGCUAGAAUUUCCGGUGUAGCGGUGAAAUGCAUAGAUACCGGAAGGAAUACCAAUUGCGAAGGCAGGUUGCUACGAAUAAACUGACGCUGAUGCACGAAAGCGUGGGGAUCAAACAGGAUUAGAUACCCUGGUAGUCCACGCCGUAAACGAUGAUUACUAGUUGUUGGGGUUUAAGCCUCAGUGACCAAGGGAAACCGAUAAGUAAUCCACCUGGGGAGUACGCCGGCAACGGUGAAACUUAAAGGAAUUGACGGCNGAGAGNGCGACGACGACGACGAGGAGAG